UUUCUCUUAGAACAAUUUAAACAUCAUUUGUAGCACAGAUCUCUAAGAGGCAAAUUCUUUGAGCUUUUCUUUACUGUGGAUGAAUUUUCUUUCAUUUUCAAAGACAAAGGAAA
Ochotona curzoniae (black-lipped pika) is the source of this 113-nucleotide long non-coding RNA. RefSeq lists it as uncharacterized. NCBI's taxonomy places the organism in Eukaryota, Metazoa, Chordata, Mammalia, Lagomorpha, Ochotonidae. The record is from RefSeq and is a predicted model, not a curated record. The transcript has 3 exons.